RNAcentral lists this ribosomal RNA (254 nucleotides) under uncultured bacterium. RNAcentral's name for it is "partial 16S ribosomal RNA". It matches the Rfam family "Bacterial small subunit ribosomal RNA", at positions 524 to 776 of the family's 1533-position model. The record is from RNAcentral.
UACGUAGGGUGCAAGCGUUGUCCGGAAUUAUUGGGCGUAAAGAGCUCGUAGGCGGUCUGUCGCGUCGGCUGUGAAAACCCGGGGGCUCAACCCCGGGCCUGCAGUCGAUACGGGCAGACUAGAGUGUGGUAGGGGAGACUGGAAUUCCUGGUGUAGCGGUGAAAUGCGCAGAUAUCAGGAGGAACACCGGUGGCGAAGGCGGGUCUCUGGGCCAUAACUGACGCUGAGGAGCGAAAGCGUGGGGAGCGAACAGG